Molecule: microRNA precursor, 83 nt
Organism: Operophtera brumata (winter moth)
Lineage: Eukaryota; Metazoa; Arthropoda; Insecta; Lepidoptera; Geometridae
Rfam family: mir-3338 microRNA precursor family
Source: Rfam
CGAGUGUUUCAAAGCAAACACAGUAGUGUGCAAUGCUAAGCUCAAUCAUGCAUGUACUUACUUUGUUUGUUCUGAAAUGUUCU